GGGUAACAGGAAAGCUUGCUUUCGCUGACGACCGGCGCACGGGUGCGUAACGCGUAUGCAACCUACCUCAUACUGGAGAAUAGCCCCUGGAAACGGGGAUUAAUACUCCAUGGUAUCAUUCUUUCGCAUGUUAGAAUGAUUAAAGAAUUUCGGUAUGAGAUGGGCAUGCGUCCCAUUAGCUAGUUGGUGAGGUAACGGCUCACCAAGGCGACGAUGGGUAGGGGGCCUGAGAGGGUGGUCCCCCACACUGGUACUGAGACACGGACCAGACUCCUACGGGAGGCAGCAGUGAGGAAUAUUGGUCAAUGGAGGCAACUCUGAACCAGCCAUGCCGCGUGAAGGAUGACGGCCCUAUGGGUUGUAAACUUCUUUUGAAUAGGAAGAAACUUAUCUACGUGUAGAUAACUGACGGUACUAUUAGAAUAAGGAUCGGCUAA
RNAcentral lists this ribosomal RNA (437 nucleotides) under uncultured bacterium. RNAcentral describes it as "bacterial SSU rRNA". It matches the Rfam family "Bacterial small subunit ribosomal RNA", at positions 67 to 500 of the family's 1533-position model. The record is from RNAcentral.